GAUGAACGCUGGCGGCGUGCCUAAUACACGCAAGUCGAGCGAACAGACGAGGAGCUUGCUCCUCUGACGUUAGCGGCGGACGGGUGAGUAACACAUGGAUAACCUACCUAUAAGACUGGGAUAACUUCGGGAAACCGGAGCUAAUACCGGAUAAUAUAUUGAACCGCAUGGUUCAAUAGUGAAAGACGGUUUUGCUGUCACUUAUAGAUGGAUCCGCGUCGGAUUAGCUAGUUGGUAAGGUAACGGCAUACCAAGGCAACGAUGCGUAGCCGACCUGAGAGGAUGAUCGGCCACACUGGAACUGAGACACGGUCCAGACUCCUACGGGAGGCAGCAGUAGGGAAUCUUCCGCAAUGGGCGAAAGCCUGACGGAGCAACGCCGCGUGAGUGAUGAAGGUCUUCGGGUCGUAAAGCUCUGUUAUUAGGGAAGAACAAAUGUGUAAGUAACUAUGGACGUCUUGACGGUACCUAAUCAGAAAGCCACGGCUAACUACGUG
RNAcentral lists this ribosomal RNA (497 nucleotides) under uncultured bacterium. RNAcentral describes it as "partial 16S ribosomal RNA". It matches the Rfam family "Bacterial small subunit ribosomal RNA", at positions 28 to 507 of the family's 1533-position model. The record is from RNAcentral.